Molecule: ribosomal RNA, 3637 nt
Filed under: uncultured Vexilliferidae
Lineage: Eukaryota; Discosea; Flabellinia; Dactylopodida; Vexilliferidae
Description: partial Eukaryotic large subunit ribosomal RNA
Rfam family: Eukaryotic large subunit ribosomal RNA
Source: RNAcentral
UUCUCAAAUUAAAUAAGAAGACCUACUGAAUUUAAGCAUAUUAUUAAGUAGAGGAAAAGAAAGUAACAACGAUUUCAUUAGUAAUGGCGAAUGAAAAUGAAAAAGCGCAAAUUUAAAAUCAUUUUUUUUUUAAAAUGAAUUGUAGUUUUAUAAAUUUUAUUUUUUAUUCAUAUUUUUUAUCAUAAUUGUUGUCAAUUUAAUAUUUAAAAUUAAUUGGAAUAUUAUAUCAUAGAAGGUGAAAAUCCUGUAUAUAAAUAUAAUUGGCAUGAUAAAAAAAGAUUAAAUAAAAUUUUAGAGUCAAGUUAUUUGAAAGUAUAACUUAAAUAACGAGCUAAGUCUCUCGUAACGCUAAAUAUAAAUGGGAAACCGAUAGCGAACAAGUAGUGUGAACGAAAGAAGAAAAGAACUUUGAAAAGAGAGUGAAAUAGUAACUGAAAUUGUUAAAAGGGAAACGAUUAAUUUUAGUGAAAAAUUUUUAAAAUGGUUUUUUAAUCUGAAAGGAUUUGGAAUUUAAUUUUAAAAAUUUACUCAAAAUAAAUAAAAUAAAUAUAAUAAACAAUUUUUUAUUUAGAAUUAUUUUUUAAUAAUUAUAAUGAUUAUUUUAAAAUAAUUUAUAUAUUUAAUAGAGAUUAUAUUAAAUUUAUUUAAUAAUAUUAAAUUAAAUUUAAUUGAAAUUAAAAUUUUAAUAAUUUUAAUAUUUUUAUAUUUUCACUGAAAAUACUAAAAAAUUUUAAUUUUAUUUUUAAUUUUAAUUAUAUUCAAUUUUUUUUAAUAAAUUUUUUGAGAAAAUGAAAUUAAUUGACCCGUCUUGAAACACGGGCCAAGGAGUUCAAUAUAUAUGUAAAUAUAAAAAUAAAGUAAAAUUUUUAUUUAAAAAGAAAUUAAAUAUUUUUUUAUUGUACAUAAAUCAUUGUGUUCAAAUAAUUUAUUAUCUUUAAUUGAUAAUAAAAAGAAUAUAUAUAUUGAGACCCGAAAGAUGGUGAACUAUGGAUGAAUAGUGUAAAGUCAGGGGAAACUCUGAUGGAAGCUCGAAGGGAUUCUGACGUGCAAAUCGAUCCUCAAAUUUGUCUAUAGGGGCGAAAGACUAAUCGAACUAUCUAGUAGCUGGUUUCCUCCGAAGUUUCCCUCAGGAUAGCUGGAGAAAAAAUUGAUUUAAUUGGGUAAAGCGAAUGAUUAGAGGUACGGGGAAUGAAAUAUUCUUCACCUAUUCUCAAACUUUAAAUGGGUUAAAAAAAUCUAUAUAACUUUUUUGUAUAUGAUUUAAAAACAAUUAAAACUCUUAGUGGGCCAUUUUUGGUAAGCAAGACUGGCGAUGUGGGAUCAACCAAACGUUAAGAUAAAGUGCCUAAAUAUAUGCUCAUUAGAUAUCAUGAAAGGUGUUGAUUGAUAUAGACAGAAGGACGGUGGCCAUGGAAGUCGGAAUCCGCUAAGGAGUGUGUAAUAACUCACCUUCCGAAUCAAUUAGCCCUGAAAAUGGAUGGCGCUUAAGCAUAUUACUUAUACUUGACCAAUAUUUUAAACAAAAAGAAUAAAAUAUUGUGUAGGAGGAUAUAUAAAUAAUUAAGAACUUUUGUUUUUGUAAAAAUAAAGGGAAUUAUUUAUAGUACAGAUCUUGGCUGUAGUAGCAAAUAUUCAAGUGAGAACCUUGAAGACUGAAGUAGAGAAAGGUUCCGUGUGAACAGUAUUUGUACACGGGUUAGUCGUUCCUAAAUUUAAAAUUAAUAUUUUUUUAUAAUUUUUAUCUAUUUUUUGGAUGAAAUUAAAUGAAAGGGAAAUAAGUUAAAAUUCUUAUACCAAAAUAUGGAUAAUUUUAAAAUAAUCAUUUUUUGAUUUUUUUAAUUUUAAUAUGGUAACAUAAAAAAACUUUUUAACACUAGUGAAUAUUUUAGAAAGAGUUUUCUUUUCUUUUUAACAAAUCAAAUCUAUCUUUUUCCUAGAAAGAGAUAAAAAAUUAAAUGAAAUAAAAUUAUUUUGAGAAAUUUAAUUUUUUUUUGUAAAAGUAUAAUCUUUUAUUUGUUUUAUCAAAUUUAUUAUAUCUAAUUUAUAUUCAAUAGUCCUUGAAAUUGAAAAAGUUUUAUUCUCUAUGAUUUUCAUAUUUGUUCGUACUCAUAACCGCAUCAGGUCUCUAAGGUGAAAAGCCUCUAGUCAAAUAGAAUAAUGCAUGUAAGGGAAGUCGGCAAAUUAGAUCCGUAACUUUGGAAUAUGGAUUGGCUCUUUAUGUUUUGAUAAAAUUCUCUCUCUUUUGAGUUAAUUUUGGAUACAAACAAAUAAAGAACUGAUACGAUCAAGAGGAAUCCGACUGUUUAAUUAAAACAAAGCAUUGCGAUACUUUCAACUAGAUUUUUACGUAAUGUGAUUUCUGCCCAGUGCUCUGAAUGUUAAAGUGAAGAGAUUCAAGUAAGCGCGGGUAAACGGCGGGAGUAACUAUGACUCUCUUAAGGUAGCCAAAUGCCUCGUCAUUUAACUGCUGACGCGCAUGAAUGGAUUAACGAGAUUCCUACUGUCCCUACUUGCUAUCUAGCGAACCAACAGCUAAGGGAACGGGCUUAGCAUAGUCAGCGGGGAAAGAAGACCCUGUUGAGCUUGACUCUAGUCUGAUUUGUAAAAUAUCUUUAUAGGUGUAGCAUAGGUGGGACCAACUCUCUUUUGAAUUGGGAUCUUGAAAUACCACUACUAUAAAUGUUGUUUUACUUAUAUAUUUAUUUAAUUUUUUAUUCUUUUUUGAAUAUUUUAAUGUAAAAAACAAUUUUUCUUUAAUUGUUGAUUUAUGAUAUAGAAACUUUCAGGUGGGGAGUUUGGCUGGGGCGGCACAUCUGUUAAAUAAUAACACAGGUGUCCUAAGAUAAGCUCAAAGAGAACAGAAAUCUCUUGUAGAAGAAAAGGCUAAAAGCUUAUUUUAUUUUGAUUUUCAGUAUGAAUUUAAACUGUGAAAGCAUGGCCUAUCGAUCCUUUAUAUAAUAUCACUAAAACAACUCGUUUGUUUUGACUUGAGACUUUAGGAUAGAGGUGUCAGAAAAGUUACCACAGGGAUAACUGGCUUGUGGCUGCCAAGCGUUCAUAGCGACGUAGCUUUUUGAUUCUUCGAUGUCGGCUCUUCCUAUACUUAAGAAGCAGAAUUCCUAAAGGUUCGGAUUGUUCACCCGUUAAAAGGGAACGUGAGCUGGGUUUAGACCGUCGUGAGACAGGUUAGUUUUACCCUACUGACAAAUAAUAAAGAAAAAGUUAUGAUAAUGGUAAUUCAACUUAGUACGAGAGGAACCGUUGAUUCUGAUAUUUGGUUUAUACAGUUAAUUGAAAAAUUAGUGCUGUGAUGCUACAAUCAGUAAGAUAAAGGCUGAACGCCUCUAAGUCUGAAUCUAUGCCAAUUUAUUUCAUAAUUAUUUUUAUUUUUUUAAAUAAAAAUUUUUAAUUUGUUUAUUUUUUUAUUCUUUUAAAAAUAUUUAUUUCUCUUUAUGAGUGAUAAAUAAUAAAAUUUGAAAAAAGUUAAUGUUAAAUUGAAAUAUUUUUCAUUUUUAUCUUUUUUCCAUUUUAAUCUUUUCCCAAAAUAUCAAAUUAAACAAAUCUUAACUAGACGAGUUAAAUUAAUUUAAAUAUUGUAAGUGGUUGAGUAAUAAUUAUUUUCUUUUAUUGAAAAUAA